GCCGGCUUAGCUCAGUUGGUAGAGCAACCGCCUUGUAAGCGGUAGGUCGCGAGUUCAAAUCUCGCAGCCGGCA
This 73-nucleotide transfer RNA is filed under the name Nitrospirillum amazonense. RNAcentral describes it as "tRNA-Thr". It matches the Rfam family "tRNA". Rfam says of the family: Transfer RNA (tRNA) molecules are approximately 80 nucleotides in length. Their secondary structure includes four short double-helical elements and three loops (D, anti-codon, and T loops). Lineage: Bacteria; Pseudomonadati; Pseudomonadota; Alphaproteobacteria; Rhodospirillales; Azospirillaceae. The record is from RNAcentral.